RNAcentral lists this long non-coding RNA (1336 nucleotides) under Bos indicus x Bos taurus (hybrid cattle). Its description in RNAcentral is "lncRNA (ENSBIXG00000014766.1)". Lineage: Eukaryota; Metazoa; Chordata; Mammalia; Artiodactyla; Bovidae. The record is from RNAcentral.
GCUUAAAAGAGCAAACAGACUGCAAGCAACCAGAAUGGAUGGGAUGAUCUCAGAUAGAUCGGGAUGGCCUUCAGAAGGAGAAUGUCCUGACUUGCUUGCUUGUGAAAGUCUUUCAAGCAAGAAGGGCCUGCGAUGGCCAAGCUAGGUAUGCCUUCUUGACCAGAUUCUGCUCAGCUGCCUGACACCACUGAUAGUGAAAUCCAGUUGAGCCCUGCUCUCCUGAUAGUGCUGCAAGGCACCAUUUAACAGAAGCUUCCUGAGGCAGAACCUUCAGAGAAUUCAAGGACUCACUCUGUCGUCAUCAUCAGAAGUGCAUGUUUCCAUUGCUGAGUCAGAAGAACUAAAUUGGAGCUGGCCCAGAAACAAAUGAUGAGACCCGAGGCUACGCAGCAAAACAGGAGCUAGCCCAUGUCUCCCUGAUUCCCUUCCUCAGAAUGAAAGUCCAUGAGCCCAAAAAGCAGCGAAUGGGAAACAUCAGAAAUACAGCCUCAAGCAAAGAAAAUCUCAAAGCAGGUACCUAGGAGAGAAAACUGCCCACAGUGCAAAAGAAUCAAUAAAGAACACUGUGAUGAACCACAGCCCACCCCAACCCAAAAAGAUAGCUUUGCCCUCACAGUGAACAGUCUUUUAAGCAAUGAGGCUAUUUCACUGCAAGCUAUUCAUAAUUCGUCAUUAUUGUACUUGAAGAUGUAGAAACACCAAGGGUCUUCACAUCAGCCAUUGCCGUAAUUAGAAAGGAACAUCACAUCAUAUCCAUGGCAUUUGCUACCCUUUGUAUAAACAGGUAAGUUUGAAUUCUUAUAUGGUUUGCCUACAAAAACAUGUAUUUCUUCCUUAUCAGCAAGUUGCUGUUUAAACAACUUUGUGCUUUAAUAUUAACGUAAUAACAGCUCACAUUUACUGUACAUUUACACAACAACUCAUUACUAGCUCACUUAAUCCUUAUAACAACCAUGUCAAGGGCUCCUUUUACAUAUAGCAGGAAACAAAAGCUUAGAGAGCUCAAGUCACUUGAUCAAAAUCACGCCGUUUGGAAGUGCUAGAGUUUAGGUUCAAAUUGAGGUCUCCCUAGCUGCUCACCUUGAGAACUUAAUCACAUUUCUAUGCUGUUGUUUACAAAACCAAAUUCUGAGCCCUAAUGCUGUCAAACUUUAAUAGCAAAUUCUCAUUCCUCCAACUCAUUGAGCUGAUUUUUCACACAUUUUAAAUGACAUCAGUUAAAACACAGUCUGUACUUAUUUCUCAGGCUUCCGAGCUGAUACCACAUUUUAGGUGUGGCUCGGGAGCAUAAGUACCUGGUUCAGGGAAUCCCAGGCUUCUCCUUAUCUUUUUUUUC